RNAcentral lists this transfer RNA (72 nucleotides) under Camelus bactrianus (Bactrian camel). It matches the Rfam family "tRNA". Rfam says of the family: Transfer RNA (tRNA) molecules are approximately 80 nucleotides in length. Lineage: Eukaryota; Metazoa; Chordata; Mammalia; Artiodactyla; Camelidae. RNAcentral also lists the same sequence under 3 other names. The record is from Rfam by way of RNAcentral.
GAGGGUCUAGCUCAGUGGUACAGUGCAUGCCUAGCAUGCACGGGGUCCUGGGUUCAAUCCCCAGGACUGUCA